UUCGUCAUAUUCAUGAAAUCUCUGUUGUG
Molecule: small RNA, 29 nt
Filed under: Plasmodium falciparum 3D7
Lineage: Eukaryota; Apicomplexa; Aconoidasida; Haemosporida; Plasmodiidae
Description: Pfa-rasR6544
Source: RNAcentral